CAGCUCAGUUCCGAGCGCGGCCUCCUUCUUCGCCCAGCCCUCCUGCACGUUCAGUCCCGCGCUGGAACGCGUUCUUCUCCCAAGUCCAGACCCCACUUCCUUGCACAAGUGACCUUCUCCAGGAGAGAGGGAAGAUGGGAAAGUUGGCAGACAGCUACAAAUCUCCUUAAAAAGGAGUCUCUUCAGAAUUUAGCAAGAGCGGUGACCCAUUUUGUUGCUGACUGGGUCCAUACAGGAUUAUUUACGUAUGCUUGAAACUUCAAAAGUCUACCUGAUGUGUCUAGGUGUGGGUCUCAGUUUUAUCAUUUAUUAAUUGAUUACGCAAAGAUUUAUUGAGCAUGUACCAUGUUUUCACAGUAAUUUCGUGGGCCCUUUUGUCAUGAAGACUCGAGUCUUUCUUUAGUUUAGGGACAUCUUUCUAUAAUUUAUUUCAUUAUAGUCUCUUCCAGUGGAAUUUUCACAGUUAGUUUAUUUGAUCUCCUGGAUCUGUUUCCAAGUCUUGUAUAUUUUUGUUUACCAUCAUAUUAAUCUCUUUACCCUUUUCAUACAAAUUCCAUAAAUAUUGCUUGAGCCAGUCUUUUAAAUCUCUGUAGUAUCAAUCUGUAAGUCAUUGUCUCCGUAGGUUUACCACGUUGAUUGCAGGGCUCCAGAUGGCUGUAAGGUACAGGCAGGGAGCUCUGUUUAGCAGGCAAGUGUGGAGCCCUCAUGAAUGGUAUUAGUGCCCUUAUAAGAAGAAACACAAGAUCUUGUUCGCACUCUGUGCCAUGUGAGGUACAAUGAAAAGAUGGCUGUCUGCAAACUAGGGAGAGGGCUGUUCCUGGACACUAGAUGUACUGGCACUUUGAUCUUGGCCUUCCCAGCCUCCAGAACUGUGAGAAAUAAAUGUUUGAUGUUUUAGCCACACAGACUAUGGUAAU
Equus caballus (horse) is the source of this 917-nucleotide long non-coding RNA. RefSeq lists it as uncharacterized. NCBI's taxonomy places the organism in Eukaryota, Metazoa, Chordata, Mammalia, Perissodactyla, Equidae. The record is from RefSeq and is a predicted model, not a curated record.